This 467-nucleotide ribosomal RNA is filed under the name uncultured bacterium. RNAcentral's name for it is "partial 16S ribosomal RNA". It matches the Rfam family "Bacterial small subunit ribosomal RNA", at positions 28 to 507 of the family's 1533-position model. The record is from RNAcentral.
GACGAGCGCUGGCGGCGUGCUUAACACAUGCAAGUCGAACGGAAAGGCCUCUUUCGGGGGGUACUCGAGUGGCGAACGGGUGAGUAACACGUGAGUAACCUGCCCUUGACUUUGGGAUAACUUCAGGAAACUGGGGCUAAUACCGGAUAGGAGCUCCUGCUGCAUGGUGGGGGUUGGAAAGUUUCGGCGGUUGGGGAUGGACUCGCGGCUUAUCAGCUUGUUGGUGGGGUAGUGGCUUACCAAGGCUUUGACGGGUAGCCGGCCUGGGAGGGUGACCGGCCACAUUGGGACUGAGAUACGGCCCAGACUCCUACGGGAGGCAGCAGUGGGGAAUAUUGCACAAUGGGUGGAAGCCUGAUGCAGCAACGCCGUGUGCGGGAUGACGGCCUUCGGGUUGUAAACCGCUUUCGCUCAUGACGAAGCUUUGUGUGACGGUAGUGGGUAAAGAAGCACCGGCUAACUACGUG